GAGUUUGAUCAUGGCUCAGAUUGAACGCUGGCGGAAUGCUUUACACAUGCAAGUCGAACGGCAGCACGGGAGCUUGCUCCUGGUGGCGAGUGGCGAACGGGUGAGUAAUAUAUCGGAACGUAUCCAAUAAUGGGGGAUAACUAGUCGAAAGAUUAGCUAAUACCGCAUACGCCCUGAGGGGGAAAGCUGGGGAUCUUCGGACCUGGCGUUAAUGGAGCGGCCGAUAUCUGAUUAGCUAGUUGGUGGGGUAAAGGCCCACCAAGGCGACGAUCAGUAGCUGGUCUGAGAGGACGACCAGCCACACUGGAACUGAGACACGGUCCAGACUCCUACGGGAGGCAGCAGUGGGGAAUUUUGGACAAUGGGCGCAAGCCUGAUCCAGCCAUUCCGCGUGAGUGAAGAAGGCCUUCGGGUUGUAAAGCUCUUUCGCAAGGGAAGAAAACUUAUCCUCUAACAUAGGAUGAGGUUGACGGUACCUUGAUAAGAAGCACCGGCUAACUACGUGCCAGCAGCCGCGGUAAUACGUAGGGUGCGAGCGUUAAUCGGAAUUACUGGGCGUAAAGCGUGCGCAGGCGG
RNAcentral lists this ribosomal RNA (576 nucleotides) under uncultured beta proteobacterium. RNAcentral describes it as "bacterial SSU rRNA". It matches the Rfam family "Bacterial small subunit ribosomal RNA", at positions 9 to 578 of the family's 1533-position model. Lineage: Bacteria; Pseudomonadati; Pseudomonadota; Betaproteobacteria. The record is from RNAcentral.